Manis pentadactyla (Chinese pangolin) is the source of this 685-nucleotide long non-coding RNA. RefSeq lists it as uncharacterized. The transcript is spliced from 4 exons. The record is from RefSeq and is a predicted model, not a curated record. Lineage: Eukaryota; Metazoa; Chordata; Mammalia; Pholidota; Manidae.
AGUCAGGGCUGAAGUCACCACCAUGGAACAACUUGGCCUGGGUGUAGGGAAGCCAGGACAUUCUGACAAGGGAGGGGACAGAACCCUGGGCACCCGGAAGCCAUGAUAUCCACCUGGUCUCAAGCCAUGUGCAGUGGCCCCACACUCUGGGAAGUGCAGGUGAGGGACUUAUCUUCUGAGGAAUCUGAAGAGAUGGACACACACUGGGCCUCCAAGGUUUUCCAGCAGCCUCUCCACCCAGCUGAGAGCAACUUUCUAGGCACUGGUGUCCCCAGCAGCUGCGCUGGACGUCCUGUUCCUGCCCAGAUGCUGCCAACGUGUCUCCCAUCACCCUCAGCCGGCCUCAUCUUUGCUCCGUGUUUAGCUACCCCCUCACUCCCAAACACGGACUCUGAUUUAGAAAAUUGAGUGUCCAGCCUUGCAAACACCAGGGUCUGCCUGGGCAUCCUUAGUUCGGCCCCAUCCCCACAGCAGCUGCCCCAGAGCCUGGCUGGACCAGCUCCCACCAGAUCCUCCUGCCAAUGGCAAGAUCCGCCAUCCUCACCUGGCCUGGCAGCUGCCAAGGAGAGGGCUUAGUUUAAAGACUUGCCUACAUGCUGCAAAUGGUGACUUGGCCAGUGGUUCUGGGGUCAGAAUUAGCUGGACCAGAACAAGGAGACAUUGCCCAUUCCUUGCCCCAUCCCUU